RNAcentral lists this ribosomal RNA (305 nucleotides) under uncultured bacterium. RNAcentral describes it as "bacterial SSU rRNA". It matches the Rfam family "Bacterial small subunit ribosomal RNA", at positions 338 to 660 of the family's 1533-position model. The record is from RNAcentral.
CCUACGGGGCGCAGCAGUGGGGAAUAUUGCACAAUGGGGGAAACCCUGAUGCAGCGACGCCGCGUGAGUGAAGAGGUAUUUCGGUAUGUAAAGCUCUAUCAGCAGGGAAGAUAAUGACGGUACCUGACUAAGAAGCCCCGGCUAACUACGUGCCAGCAGCCGCGGUAAUACGUAGGGGGCAAGCGUUAUCCGGAUUUAUUGGGUGUAAAGGGUGCGUAGACGGGAAUACAAGUUGGUUGUGAAAGCCCUCGGCUUAACUGAGGAACUGCAACCAAAACUAUAUUUCUUGAGUAUCGGAGAGGAAA